Molecule: long non-coding RNA, 1813 nt
Organism: Pangasianodon hypophthalmus (striped catfish)
Lineage: Eukaryota; Metazoa; Chordata; Actinopteri; Siluriformes; Pangasiidae
Exons: 3
Source: RefSeq, a predicted model, not a curated record
GGGGGUAGUUUCCCUUCUGCUCACUGUCACAGACACACAGACGGGUUUUCGGCCAUCGGAGACCUCUCUGAAGGGCAACCGGUGAAUGUCUGGCCACGUUUGCUAAUAUCCGGCGCUGAAAUCUCGCUGAUAUGUCGGGUAACCUUUGGUUUCUUUCUGAAGUGAAGUCCAUUGUUUGAUACAACCAGCUUCUUUGCUAUUACUCUUCCUGUAUAACACUCUUUCCUUAAGGGUCACAGUGGAUCCAGAGCCUGUCCAGGGAACACUGGCUGUGAGGCAGAAAAACACAUUGGAUGGGACGGAGAACCCAAAGGAAACACAUGUGGACACAGGAGCACACAGACGAGCUGAGGAUCAAACCGAGGAGCUGUGAGGUGGCUGUUUAGUUAUCACCAUUUUAUAUAUAUUAAAUUUUAAGUUUCAAUUUUAUUGUCAUAUGCAUAAAGAGUGCUUAAGCAUCUAUAUAAAAUGAAACUCUUGUGCUACAGUUACACACUCCUACCCAGACACAAAAAUGACAGACAAAAGACCUUGCAAAAUUAUUAAUGCACUCUAAACAAGUAAAAAUUAUAACAAAGCGUAAACAUUGUAAACACUGUCACUUUUUGGACUGCAUACAUAGUAGGAGACAUUGCACAUACAGUACAAGGACAGUAUUAAGUGCUAACUGUAAGUUUAUAAAAGGAAAAUUAUAUACAAUUGGGAAAUUAGUCAUGUCAUGUCAAAAGAACACAAAAAAGAAGUUUUUUUUAAUGACCAUUAUAAAACUUACUGAAAAUAUUUAAAGAAUUCUAAAAGCUCUAAAAACCAUUUGGAAAUAAAUGAUAAGAAAUAAAUUAAAGUGUUAUCAGUGGCCCCGAAGUGCAUCUGCUUUUGUUGUUGUUUGAAUAUCUCAGGGCCGUAUUCAAAUUUGCUGACUUAAGUCCAAAAGUUAUGUCAUUAUUUAUGCAGGGAAAGUUACUCUUAUUCAGAGAUAAGCUAGGCACUCAUCUCUAUUUUUUCUCUGCUGUGAAAUGUAAUACCAGGUAACAUAAAAGCAAUUUAAAAAUGAAAAGUAAUAAAGACUAAUAUGAUGAUAUAUGAAUGAGAAGGUUUCAAGCGCUGAAAUAAACAUCUUAUACAAGUCUAAUAUAUUGCCAAUAUGUUACUGGAUGAACAGUCCUAGUAGUAAUUUUCACAUUAAUCACAGCAAAUUUGGCAUAGUUUAACAAUAUGGCUUCCACCUUCAUUAUUCAGAAGCUACUAAAAUAGCACUUGAUCCAGCACAUCCUAUUAUUUUGCAUUUUUUACAUCAGGCACUGACAGUUACAAUGAAGUCACAAGAUACUAAUUGGUUAUGAAAUCAUAAUGUGUGCAUGGAAUGUAGGCUAUUUUAUCACACAUUAAAUUUGCUAUUUUGAUUUGUCAAAUUAAUAAAAUAAUGUCAAAGCUUUUGCUGUAACAAUGUGUUUGUUGUUCCUAGUCUCUGAUUAAGAUACUGUCUCCUCUGUGUGUCCUCUGUGCAAAAAAAGUUGUUGACUUUAAAGUGGUGAUAUUUAAUUACUUCAUCACUUAACCACUUAUUUAAUUAGAAUUGCCCCUUUGUUUUAAUUAAUUAGUUGUGCAAUAUUCAUGUGUUCAAUAUUCGCUUCAUAUGACAUUCUAAAGUGUUUUGAGUGUAUUUACAACAUGCAAACAUAAAUUUUAUCAUGUCAUAUUAAGUCUAAGACCAAGACUACUUAUGUCUUAGGUUUGAAUACUUCUGGUUUGGUGUCUCUGAAUUAACUCCUCAUUAAGUAUGCAUAAUUCAACUCUGAAUAUUCUCUCAAUGAAA